Molecule: ribosomal RNA, 643 nt
Filed under: uncultured Actinomycetes bacterium
Lineage: Bacteria; Bacillati; Actinomycetota; Actinomycetes
Description: bacterial SSU rRNA
Rfam family: Bacterial small subunit ribosomal RNA
Source: RNAcentral
CGCGGCCUAUCAGCUUGUUGGUGGGGUAAUGGCCUACCAAGGCGACGACGGGUAGCCGGCCUGAGAGGGCGACCGGCCACACUGGGACUGAGACACGGCCCAGACUCCUACGGGAGGCAGCAGUGGGGAAUAUUGCACAAUGGGCGGAAGCCUGAUGCAGCGACGCCGCGUGAGGGAUGACGGCCUUCGGGUUGUAAACCUCUUUCAGCAGGGAAGAAGCGAGAGUGACGGUACCUGCAGAAGAAGCGCCGGCUAACUACGUGCCAGCAGCCGCGGUAAUACGUAGGGCGCAAGCGUUGUCCGGAAUUAUUGGGCGUAAAGAGCUCGUAGGCGGCUUGUCGCGUCGGAUGUGAAAGCCCGGGGCUUAACCCCGGGUCUGCAUUCGAUACGGGCAGGCUAGAGUUCGGUAGGGGAGAUCGGAAUUCCUGGUGUAGCGGUGAAAUGCGCAGAUAUCAGGAGGAACACCGGUGGCGAAGGCGGAUCUCUGGGCCGAUACUGACGCUGAGGAGCGAAAGCGUGGGGAGCGAACAGGAUUAGAUACCCUGGUAGUCCACGCCGUAAACGGUGGGAACUAGGUGUUGGCGACAUUCCACGUCGUCGGUGCCGCAGCUAACGCAUUAAGCUCCCCGCCUGGGGAGUACGG